Molecule: ribosomal RNA, 253 nt
Filed under: uncultured bacterium
Lineage: Bacteria
Description: partial 16S ribosomal RNA
Rfam family: Bacterial small subunit ribosomal RNA
Source: RNAcentral
UACGGAGGGGGCAAGCGUUAUUCGGAAUUAUUGGGCGUAAAGGGCGCGUAGGCGGCCCUGUAAGUCAAAGGUGAAAGCCCUCGGCUCAACCGAGGAACAGCCCUUGAUACUGCAGGGCUCGAGGCCGGGAGAGGAGGGUGGAAUUCCCAGUGUAGCGGUGAAAUGCGUAGAUAUUGGGAGGAACACCGGUGGCGAAGGCGGCUCUCUGGACCGGUACUGACGCUGAGGAGCGAAAGCUAGGGGAGCAAACGGG